AUUAUAUCAGCCAUGCGGGCAGGGCUGCCGUACAUUUGUACCGAAAGAGAGCAAAUGUGAGCAGGCCAGCUUGAUUUUAACUACAAUUUGGGCUUUUUCCUUGUUAGAACACCCCUGGAAAAUGAAUGGAAAAUUCAAUGGUUUUGAAUUCAGUUGGACACCUUCAUUUGGGAAAAUGCAAGUAAGACUGAUGCUGCCUUUUCUGAAGAAGAUGGUCACUCAUAAUAAUUUUUUUACCUUUUCAGUUAAGGAAACCUGGUGUCUUGCAACUCUCUAUGCAUUAAAACUUAUUUUUAUUGGGGUGCUGGAAAGAUGCUGAUUAAAUGCAAAGAACACAUCUUUCUGUCUUCAUUGUUUAACCUUUUGCAUCCCCUUGCUUUUGGAAUAAUGCCCAACUGCAUUUUCAAACCAUAAAUUGCCUUUUACACCAGCAGCUCUCACUUUCUCAUACUCCCAUGAAGGAGAGACGCUUUGGGAUAUUAUUCUCUGCAGUUGCAAUUAAAAGUGGACUCUGGCUGGCAGAAUAAACUAAAAUAAAACUACAACGCCCCUAUUUAAAAAUUAACCAUUACUCACCAAAAGCACAUCAAACCCACUUAGCGGACAUCCGUUAAUCCCGCGGUGAGCUGUUUCAGGCUUUAAUGCACACUGUUUUACACGUUAAGGGUUUUGAAGUCGCGGGCCAGCGCUGACCUUUCGCAUCUGCUCCUCUCGCAGUAGGAAUCUCCGCUCGCCGCUCCCCGUCAGGGCGGAUUAACGUGACAAAGUGCAGCGCUUCUGCUGGCUGCAAUUUUGGGUUUUGAUCAGAAUUAUUUCUUUCACAAACAAUCACGUUUGGCUAAAACGUUACAUCUGCUCUGAAAAGCCACUGGCAGGGCCGCAGUUUAUCAGGGUGAGGGGAGUAUAAUUUUUUUUAUUCCUCUUUUAUAAAGCUGAAAGCCCACUUCACGUAGGUUUUUGGGGGGAGAGCUUCCCUUCUUCCUCCUCCCCUUGCCCUUUUCUUCCUUUAAUUUUGUUGGGCUGAGAUGAAAAGUUGCUUUGGACAAACAUAAAGCUGGCUGUGAUGUCUUGGAGGGGUUUGGUGGGGAAUGCGCUGAUGAGUGGGGAGCCCCAUGCUGAGUCAGCACCACACCUUUGGGUUUAUUUAUUGCUAAGGGUGCUUUGUAGGAAAGUAUUUUUUAUUCCUAGGAUCAGAGGGGAAAGUCCUGAUUUCAUGAUCUAGUGUGAUUUUUCUCAUGCUGUCAUGAGAAUAACGGUAGGCAGUUAAAUACAUGUCUAUGUAUGACCAAGGUGUCCCUGGUUGGGAGAAUCUUUAUUCCAUGAUACGGUGGGUGGGUGCUUGUACCAAGCAAAAAUACAAAAAACCCAUGGAACCUCUCAAAAUAUUGCACAUUGGAUGUACUCUGCCACUUCCAGGCAUGUGCUUGGAGCACACGGAGGGGUCUGAAGACAGUUGAAAAUGUUAAGUGUAGGUUGUCUAUCUAAAUUGUUGACAGUUAAGUGAGCCUCAUUCUUAAUAAUGUAACUUAAUGUAGCUGCCUUUAUCCAUUUCUCCGUGACCUGCUCCAGCCAUUCUUCCAAAUACCAGAGGCUGGAGGUGAAGCACAGGUCUGGGUGACCUACAGAUCACGUAGGGAGCAGUGGGCAUGGCAAACCAGGCAAGGUACCCAUCUGCUUGGAGGUUGAAGGAUGCCCUGAAGAGAAACAUGUUGUCUGGGAAGAUGCUUGCUCUCUCCUACUCUUUUUUUUUCUAAGGAUCUGUCACUUCUAGACUUGAAGUGUCUGUCUCUGCAAAAUAAUAUUUGAAUUUUAUAGUGCAGUAUGAAUUGGAAGCCUGCCAGUGCUGGCCUGGCUAAGUCUCCUGCUGAGUUCACUGCCCCCAUGUAUCAUCUACUCUCUUCCACUAUAAGAGGCAUCCAAACAUGAAGACCCAUUCAGCAGCUCAGUUGAGUGAAAUGAUUGCCUGGCUGGAUCUGCAGUAGAUGUUCCUUAGUUUGCUUUAUUUCACAGCUUUAGGUCUUUUUAGAUUCUGGCUUGUCCAAGAGGGUGAUUGGAAGACCUCUCCAAAUUCCUUGCACCUCCAUCGUGAUUUCUCUGUCACAUGUUUGAAUUGUUGACCUUGUCUUUAAAAAAACCAAACCAAAACAAAAAAGCUGACAGUGUAGUGGGUAGGAGGAUAGUGGAAGAUUAAAUGGUCAUGAGACCAGCCACUUCUUCUCUUAAUCCAUCAUAAAGCAAUGCCUUUCUUAUCACUCUUUGAUGUUUUCUUAGGAUCAUAAAUGGCAGAGAUUUAGAGGAUUAUCAGAGGCAGGAUAGGAUUGCCUGUGGAUACUCAGCAGAGAAGAUCUUGGAUAUUAAGCUGGUAGUAUGUGUAAUCUUGACCAAAAGACCAAGGAGAAUUUUGUCUGAGCGCUCCCAAUGUUAUCAACAGCUUGUACGGCACAUGAACUUCAUUUUCAUGUCUACAGAGUGAAAUCAUUCCUUCGCAUACGAGUAAAAAGAAACACUGGGGAGAAUUCUAGCAUUUUGUUCUGCUAUAGCCAGAUCUGUUCCAUCCAAAACAUGGUGCGAUGGGAUAAUGAACAUCUGUGUUCUUCUACACCAUACCUGAGCUCUAGAAAAGUCAGAGGAUUUGAGCACCUUUUUUGAAGUGGAGCAUUCACUGAAAUUAAUUCUUAUUUGGUCUGUUUUACAAUAGCUUCACGGCGUGGGCUGGCACCGUGCGAUCGAGGACAGUUCAUUGCCCGAGCGGCAGCAUCCUCGUGCAGCACGAAGCGCGUCGGUGAGCAGAGUGCCUUAGCAGAGGGUUCAGGUGCCUGGGUUCAAAAGGUGCAAUCACUUACUGUAAUAAAAAUGAGAAUAGGAAAAACGAUCCUCAGCACCGAGGCUGCUGGAAAAGUCAAGAUGUGGUAAGGAAGAAGGUAAUAGAUGUAACAUUUUGUAUCAUAUUAUCACCAAUAAGAGAAAAACAGGUCUAAAUUCAGCAGUUAUGAAAAUCCUGAUAUAAACAGUCUUAGAAAAGAUGAAGUUGAGGUUUGUUGUGCAGAUUGCACGCGAGGGUAUUUCCACACUUAGCAAGCACGAGGGAAAGAGGAAAGCAAAGCAAGGAGAAGGCUUUAAGAGCAGGUCAGCGGUCUCUACCUUCCUCUUAGUCCCUUUUCUUGCAUUGAUCGUGUCCCUUGGCCUUAGCAGAAAAUUUGUAUUUAUUUUUUGGACCAGUUGAAUCUCAGAUGGGGCAAAUUACGCUUGCACCUGCUUUCUGACAAAGUGAUGUCAUAGCUUAGGUCACUGCUGAGCUUGGAAGAUGAAGCUUUUGACUCAGACCUCUUUUGGAGAGCUGCAUCUCGAGCAUCAUCAGGACCGUGUCGCGUCUAGUGCUGCACCUGGUCUAGAUUGUGCUGAGCGAGCGUAAACUUCCCUCCGCCGCAAGCAGCCUGGGCUUUUCCUGGGACAGCAUUCCUGAAAUUGCCUUCUGUCAUCUCCUGCGGCUCUUGACAUUGUACCGGUACCUGUGUGAGAAACGUCCCCGCUGAGGAAAGGCCAUGCCUCCGAGCUCCGCUUCUCUUUGCUUCCAUUUAUUCUUCAUGUUCUUCAAAUGGGUAAAUCAUAUGACAAUAAACAGAAAUACCCUCAAUGAAGAGAGAAGGGGAAACUGUUGUUUAUCUGGUCAGGUGGUUUAGAUUAGCAGUGAUGCUGGUCUGUAUUAUGUUACUUUAAAUCAUAGUGUCCCAACAGGACAUAAAUUAUGAAGAUUGUUACAGUAUGUUUCAUCCAAUGUAAGAUCAACAAAUUGGAAUAAUUUUUUUAAUAGGAAAAUCAGUGCUUUGGCAGGGUUAUUGUUGAAGAAUUUAAUUUAACUUGAGCUUUGCUUGCAUUAUUUCUUAAUAUAUAAAAACUAUUUGCAUAAUGUAUGAAGUAUAAACAUUUUUAGAAUCAAAGGCAAGAAUGCCUUUUCCAAGAUUACAGAGUGGCAGACUACUUAGAAUAGAUCAGUGUUUGUGCUUUUGCUGUCAAAAAUGUUUGAUAUAGAGCUGGCGAGCUAGUUUCUUCACCGACAUAAUUGUAAACAAGUGUUGGGAGACAGAAACAGCGUGCUUUGUAGAACGUGGUGUAAAGGUUUUCACAUACGCCGCUGCAGAUCUAACAUGGAGUGCAGUGUUUACAGCUACAACAUGAAUAUAAAUAGGUAACUUUUUUUAGAGCACAAAGCAGCAUUUCACUUUUGUAUAAAUGAUGUGUGCAGAUAAGUAUGGGGGAUGCGAGCAGUCGGCUCUGGAUUUUGAAAGAAUAUUGUAAAUGCAGAAAAGCAUACACAAAUAAGUUGGAAAUUGUAGUUGUGGGUUUUUUUACAGUUUCACAUUUUGUUACGAAGACAGAAGUGGCACCUCAGUACAUGCCAGUAUGUCUGUAGUAUUCUUCUUCCAUCCUUUCCCUUUAUUAGUGUCCUUCAGAGUUAGGAGUACUGUUUUCCCCAAUCCCAAGCGAUGCUUGGGGAAUGGGAAAGUUGGCUGCAUUCACAAUACUUUGCUGCUCAAGCUAUUAAAGAGGAGGAAAACAAAUCUCUAGCAGUGGUUUGCAAGGUGUUAUUCACCUUCAGACCCUGCUGGCUGCCCAUGCCUGGAUGGGGUGGGAUGGAGGGAGUAGGGAAACACCGGCACAUCCGUGACUUGCACUCUCACCGGAGGGAUGGGGAUGCAAAUAACCUGAGUUUAGCUCUUUUUUGGGGCAUGAUUUAGUUGCAUUCUUAAGGACUGUCCUGCUGUUCUUGGAAUGAUAUUAAAAAGGGGGAAGAGCGAUGGGAAGGUGUUCCCCUGAUUUAUGUCGUGGAUGAAUCCAGACAAAGCCAAAAAAAAAGAAGAAAAGAGGAAAAUAUCUUAAUGCCACGUGGAUCCAGUGUCCCUGGGGAUGGUUCAGGCAGGCUGAUGAUGCCAGCAGGGAAGAAUCCCAAAAUGGGCACGUGGUUUUGAGAGUGAAUACGUGUCCUCUUGUGCUGCCAUUUCCUUCCUAAAUGCUAGCUGGAUUCCUCCUUUUUUGUGUUUUAACCAUGUUGUCACUUUCAGAUGAAGAGUGUGGCCUUGUGAGAUGAUUUUUGCGUAUUUGUAAGGUAAAAGUCUUUCUUAAUGGAGUAAAUAGAAUUAAAAUAAAACAAACGCUGCAUUUUUCUUGAGAGCACAACAGAAAAUGUCAUGAGAUUAAGUUAAACCCUUGUGACUAGCUAAACAUAACUUACAAGAGCUCGACAUUAAAGAGCUUUUUCCAUUUAUCUGCUGGCCUGUAGCUCGCUGUUAGGUAGUAACGUCAGCUGGAUAUGUGAAAGCUCCCGCAGUUUGGAAGUGAACCUUAAUGAUUGGAGAUUAUUGUUGUUGUAAGUGUCAAACUGCAAAGGAGAACACGUGCUGUAUACUGGGUAUUUUCACUUGGGUGAAUGGAAAGCAAAUGUGUGAGGCUUAGUCAUCUCUUGCCUUGUAUGACAAUGUCACUAUAACUUGUUUUAUUUAUUCAUUUCCCACUGAUAAAUGAUACAGAUGCAGCCCGGGUGGGUGGGGAAGACAGGUAGCCCUCGCACUGCAGAAGGUCAAGGUUAAUGCUACCUCCAGCAUUAUAAUGACAGAUGGGAGGCAGAAACCUUAAUGUACUUGUGAUUAGCAUAUGGUUUCCUUGGCUGAGUGUCCGGAGGAUUUAAGAAGCCCGGGUACGCUCUUCAUAGUGUACGCAUUUUAAAACAAACAAAUAAAAAGUGUGUAUGGUUA
Molecule: long non-coding RNA, 5750 nt
Organism: Harpia harpyja (harpy eagle)
Lineage: Eukaryota; Metazoa; Chordata; Aves; Accipitriformes; Accipitridae
Exons: 2
Source: RefSeq, a predicted model, not a curated record